Anolis sagrei ordinatus is the source of this 999-nucleotide non-coding RNA. Lineage: Eukaryota; Metazoa; Chordata; Lepidosauria; Squamata; Anolidae. The record is from RefSeq and is a predicted model, not a curated record.
CAAGGCCAGGCGUGGCCUCUGCUCCAGCUUUCCUCUGUUUUGCGAUAAGGAAGAGUUGGCAAGUGACGCUGCGGGCAGCUGUCGCUUGUACACACAGGCGGUGCCACAGAAGAAGAACAAACAGUUUCAUCUGCUCCAAGGAAUUGUAACCCACCCAAGACAACGUACAGUUUCUUCUCUCUGGUGUCAAGAAUAUAAUUUCAACUUCAGAAGACAAUAGAUCUGUAACGAUUUCAGACAAAGACCUACAAAUGGAGAUUGAUAUCAGAGCUGUGACUCAGGUUGGCCGCCAGCUUGCAUUAAUUGGGGAUGAGUAUAACAGGGCCUGCACUGGCAAAAUGGAAGAUUCUCUUUUUCAUCUCACAAAAAGGGUAGCAGCCAAUAUUUUUCAGAGUUGUAUUUGGAACAGCUUUAAAAGUGUUAUGGAAAGUGUGGGGAGUUUCUUGAAAAGUGGCUGGAAAAAGACCAACCAUACUUCGAUUAUUUGGGUUCCUCUCAAGCAUGUGUGCCAGAAAUGGGCGCCAGCCACCCUGUUUGCUGUUUUGAUGUGGUGGCUGAUCACUUUUGAACCUCAGAACUAAUGUGAAGUUGCCAUUGAAGGUCAUUGCUGGACUCUGACCAAUAUAUAUCUCACCCAGGAGGUGGAAUUUGCUUUGUGUGUUUGUUUUUUUAAAGUUAUCUAUGAAACCCCUUUUUUCUAUUUAAACUGUAGGGUAGUGCUGGGUCACUGCUGUUUUCAUACUUUUAAAUAUAUACACAUAUAUAUAUUAAUCCUAGGUUGUUGCUGGGUAACUACCGGAAUUGCUUGUUUUUAAAUAUGUAUUUUCAGGUGAUUCAUGUCUGUCUUUUCUUAAUAAGAUGUCCACUUUGUGUUGUUUUAUACGAGGGAAGAUUUUUGAAAGACGACAGAAGGAAUGCUGGCCAUCCUUUUAAAAUAUUUGAAUAUGUCAUAGAAAUGAAAAUCUUAAGGCUUGAAUAAAAUUAACAUUUAUGACAUAA